GAUGAACGCUAGCGAUAGGCCUAACACAUGCAAGUCGAGGGGCAUCACAUGAAGUAGCAAUACGGAUGGUGGCGACCGGCGCACGGGUGAGUAACACGUAUGCAACCUGCCUUCAACAAGGGGAUAACCCGUUGAAAGACGGACUAAUACCCUAUAACACAGGGGUCCCGCAUGGGAAUAUUUGUUAAAGGACAACCGGUUGAAGAUGGGCAUGCGUUCCAUUAGCUAGUUGGCGGGGUAACGGCCCACCAAGGCAACGAUGGAUAGGGGAACUGAGAGGUUUAUCCCCCACACUGGUACUGAGACACGGACCAGACUCCUACGGGAGGCAGCAGUGAGGAAUAUUGGUCAAUGGACGCAAGUCUGAACCAGCCACGUCGCGUGAAGGAAGACGGGCCCUACGGGUUGUAAACUUCUUUUAUACGGGGAAUAAAGUGCCCCACGCGUGGGGUUUUGCAUGUACCGUAUGAAUAAGGAUCGGCUAACUCCGUGCCAGCAGCC
RNAcentral lists this ribosomal RNA (501 nucleotides) under uncultured bacterium. Its description in RNAcentral is "bacterial SSU rRNA". It matches the Rfam family "Bacterial small subunit ribosomal RNA", at positions 28 to 516 of the family's 1533-position model. The record is from RNAcentral.